CAGCGCCGCGGGAAUACGUAGGGGGCGAGCGUUGUCCGAAGUUACUGGGCGUAAAGCGCGCGUAGGCUGUCUCUUAAGUUUGGGGUGAAAGGUUCACGGCUCAACCGGAACAGUGCCUUGAAUACUGGGAGACUUGAAUCUGGCAGAGGAUAGUGGAAUUCCUGGUGUAGCGGUGAAAUGCGUAGAUAUCAGGAGGAACACCCAUGGCGAAGGCAGCUAUCUGGGCUAAGAUUGACGCUGAGGUGCGAAAGCGUGGGGAGCGAACGGGAUUAGAUACCCCCGUAGUCCCUGUCUCUUAUAC
This 301-nucleotide ribosomal RNA is filed under the name uncultured bacterium. RNAcentral's name for it is "partial 16S ribosomal RNA". It matches the Rfam family "Bacterial small subunit ribosomal RNA", at positions 509 to 807 of the family's 1533-position model. The record is from RNAcentral.